UACGAAGGGUGCAAACGUUGCUCGGAAUUAUUGGGCGUAAAGCGCACGUAGGCGGCAUUGCAAGUCGGAUGUGAAAUCUUAUGGCUUAACCAUAAAAGUGCAUCCGAAACUGCAGUGCUUGAGUACUUAAGAGGAUCGCGGAAUUCCCGGUGUAGAGGUGAAAUUCGUAGAUAUCGGGAGGAACACCAGUGGCGAAGGCGGCGAUCUGGGAAGAUACUGACGCUGAGGCGCGAAAGCUAGGGGAGCAAACGGG
Molecule: ribosomal RNA, 253 nt
Filed under: uncultured bacterium
Lineage: Bacteria
Description: partial 16S ribosomal RNA
Rfam family: Bacterial small subunit ribosomal RNA
Source: RNAcentral